Molecule: long non-coding RNA, 640 nt
Organism: Quercus lobata
Lineage: Eukaryota; Viridiplantae; Streptophyta; Magnoliopsida; Fagales; Fagaceae
Exons: 2
Source: RefSeq, a predicted model, not a curated record
UCAUUGAGUAAAAGACUGAUUGAGCAUAUUGAGUAUUGUAUUGUAUCUUGUGUGUAUUGUAUUUGUCUGCAUAUUGAGUAAAAGACUGAAUGAGCAUUCUUUUGUCAUUCUCGUUUCUGGCUUUUAAGAAUGAGAAAAGACUAUUCUAUGAAAACAAGAAAGGAAUUAAUGUACAGGACCACCUAAAAGAUGAAGUGGGCACUACAACUAUAAAAAAAAUAUAGUUAUUAUAUAACCUAUAUAGAUUAAAGGCUUUAAUGGCUUUAAUGGUCUUGUUACUGUGUGUUGACAAUACAAUAGUGCAGCCAAAUAAUAAAUUGUGUGAGUUCAUGUGCUCUGGCAAAAGGAAAUUGGGCCACAUAUCAUAUAUAGUGUUGUUUGUUUGGCCAAAACUACUUAGACAGAACUCGAUAAAACUAUAUAUGACUAGAUGAUUUAUUGUAUCAAUUUCCUUUUUGCUUUAUAUGUAAGUGUUCUUUUUAUUUUCAAUUUCUUUUGUAAGUGAUAUUUCUCUUUAUGGUAUACCCACCAGGAACUAGUAGUAACUAUUUUAGUAAAUGGCCACAGUUUCUGGUUUAGUAUACAGGUUUGCAUGUUUUUGUAAUUAUUGUUGUUUAUGCCAUUCUUAAUGUAGUAGUUA